Molecule: long non-coding RNA, 2449 nt
Organism: Helianthus annuus (common sunflower)
Lineage: Eukaryota; Viridiplantae; Streptophyta; Magnoliopsida; Asterales; Asteraceae
Exons: 21
Source: RefSeq, a predicted model, not a curated record
UUCUCUCAAUUCACGCUUUUCUUUUUCUCCAAACCCUAAACGAGAUCAUGCAUCCUUCUUCUGUCGGCGACUAACAUCUGAUUCCAUCGAUCUUGCCUAAAUCACAUUAACGAUUUCUGAUUCAAGCUAUCUUUUCUAAACAAUUUUGAAAAUCGAAGUGCAUUUGGGGAACAUCAAAAAUAUGAAGACAUAAGUGACUAUAUGAUGGAUAUGAUAUACACUUUGAUUACUUGAAGACAUAAGAGAAUGUGGAGAUGAUGCCUUUCAUGGACAUGUUUAGAUAAUGUGGUAUGCAGAAAGGUUUAUCCGUUGUCAGCAAGGAUAAUCUUCUUUUUGGCCUUGCACAUAAAAGGUAACUUUUGUGAAAAAAACUGGGUAAGUUCUAAAGAUGUAUGUUUGGAAGUUGUCGUUUAUUCUUGAAAUGGGUAUCAUAACAUGAAAACUAUUGUUUGGUUUAUGCAUGGGAUUUAGGUAACGUUUUUUAGUAUGAUGUGUGGUUUCUUAUAUCUUGGUAUGAUAAUACAAUUAUACGAGAAUCUAAUCUUUUGUCCCCUUAAAGAUUAAGAGAUUUUUUGGAGUGUCAUUGCCAAGUUUUAGAGGCAUUUGAGUUAUUUUAUCUGAUUUUGUAGCUGAUGUAAUUAAAAAGAACUGUUAUAGGCCGCUCUUUGUUCUACACAUAUUGAUUAUGUUUAUGGAAAAGUUGGCACAUUUGCGGUUCUACACAACUCAAUCAAUAUUGUUCUACACCACUCUUCAUCAAUCCUAACGUGUAUCUCAAAAUCAAACAUCUGAAACCGAGGACCCAAAACAGUUGGCCAAACGGUGAUGGUGGUGGUUCUGAAUGCAAACGGAAACGACAGUCAAGGAGUUGUAGUGGCGACCGUCUGGGGGUCAAGCCGGCAGCUCACGGUGGUUAGGGAUCGAGGUCUUUGCUUUCAAUGAUUCCAAACAUGAUGAGGGUUUGUAAUAAAUGUGAACCUGAGAACAUUGAGGGUCCAUAGCUAAUGGAGCGUAAGACGCAAUAUACGAGUGAGUUCGUGAAGAAGGUAUAGACUUCGAAGCUGGAAGUGACUACGCAGAGAUUUUUGGCGCAGAUACGCUCAGGUGCUAUUGGACUCACUGAUAGCGUGUUUUGGUUCAUAAUUUAUCUAUUUCUUACUCCUGCAGAGUAUAGUUUAAGCUUCUUGGAUGUCACCAUGCAUUCUGUCGAUGAUGUUUUGCUCCUUGAUAUAUUUCUAAAACGCCUGCGCUUCCCGUUCUUUUGUUUGGCUUAUUUUGGUCCGUGGACAUGCGUAUUUGUCGUUUUCCAGUGGAUCGUUCAUGCAUGUGUAUCAAUGUGGUGGCUGAAUUCUUUCCUUUAUUUAUCAUCUCCGUACGCUCCCAUUUGGUAGUAUGCAAUGAGGUUUUUGCAUCCAGAUAUUGUAGCAACAUAUGAUUAUACUUUCAUUUGGGAUGAAGAUCUUGGGUUUGAACACUUCAAUGCGGACAAGUAUAUCCAGAUGGUUAAGAAACAUGGGUUGGAGAUUUCUCAGCCCGGUCUUGAACCGAAUAAUGGACUAACUUGGCAAAUGACAAAGUGGAGAGGUGAUAAAGAAGUUCGCAAUCCACAGGGUUCAUGAAGAAAAACCAGGAUGGUGCAGUGAUCCUCAUUUGCCUCCCUAUGCAGCAUUUGUAGAAAUUAUGGCUCAUGUAUUUUCUCGGGCAGCUUGGCGGUGUGUGUGGCAUAUGAUUCAGAAUGACCUGGUGCAUGGAUGGGGGUUGGAUUUUGCAUUCAGAACAUGCGUAAAAUCAGAGAAUGGUGAAGCUCCAUGGAAAGGAGUAAGAGAUAGAUGCAAAAGCGAGUGGGCACUUUUCCAAGAUCGACGGUCGUUUUGUGUAAAUGACAAUUUUAAUAACUUUUUUUGGGACACUACAUAAGCUCCCAGGAGAUGACCCGAAUGACCUUUCAGUCAGUCUCUGACUUGCAUAUAUGCAAAAACAAACUGGGUAGGUACCGCUUCAAAUUGUUUUUUACUUCAAUAUUCAGUCAUGUAUGCAAUAACGUAAUGAUAUGCAAAAGGUGGAAUUCAUGUUGUAUUAUUGGAGACUGGAGGAAGGGAAACAAUAUGUCCAAUAGCUAGAAAUUAUUUCACUUCUGGUAGGAGGGUUGAGCAAAAUCCUAAUGAUUAUAAUCAAGAGGCAGAAAGAUACGGAGUAAGCCACAAGCUGAGGUUUCUAAUGUAGUGUGGGCAAAGGGGGGCAAGCAUUGCUAUAUGUUGCCACAAAUGCUUCAUUAAAACUGAAGAUCAAAAAGCCCUUAGCAAGGAGUUAGUAUUUAUGUUAUUUAGUUUUUAGGCAAGUAUAAUGUUUGGUAGUUGUUCUGUUAAAGUUAUGUUGAUCAACAACAAUAGUAGCAAUUAAAGGAUAUGCGGGCAUGGGCAAUACCAUUUUUGCAUCACUUUGUUGUCCA